RNAcentral lists this long non-coding RNA (294 nucleotides) under Trifolium pratense (red clover). RNAcentral describes it as "long non-coding RNA (TPRA_LNC009041)". The record is from RNAcentral. Lineage: Eukaryota; Viridiplantae; Streptophyta; Magnoliopsida; Fabales; Fabaceae.
GUUUUUGUAGUUGUAUUGCAGGAAAAAACGUAGGAGAAAGAAAUGGAAAAAGAAAAAACUGCUACAAGAAGAACAAUGAAGCAGGAAGAAGGGCAAUAAAGGAAUAUUUGUAUGUAUUUAAUGACACACCAACCAGAAUCGAUUUACCAUAACGCAUAAGCUAGGAAUAUUAGCUUCACUUUGAAUCGCGUUUGGGUCCUUAAAAUUGAUUUUACACCAAUCACCCAAACACCAUUGAAAAAGAAAAAACUCACGUUUGGUCUAAACGCGCGUUUACAAUUUUCCAACGCCUAA